UACGGAGGGUGCAAGCGUUAAUCGGAAUUACUGGGCGUAAAGCGCACGCAGGCGGUUUGUUAAGUCAGAUGUGAAAUCCCCGGGCUCAACCUGGGAACUGCAUUCGAAACUGGCAGGCUUGAGUCUUGUAGAGGGGGGUAGAAUUCCAGGUGUAGCGGUGAAAUGCGUAGAGAUCUGGAGGAAUACCGGUGGCGAAGGCGGCCCCCUGGACAAAGACUGACGCUCAGGUGCGAAAGCGUGGGGAGCAAACAGG
RNAcentral lists this ribosomal RNA (253 nucleotides) under uncultured bacterium. RNAcentral describes it as "partial 16S ribosomal RNA". It matches the Rfam family "Bacterial small subunit ribosomal RNA", at positions 524 to 776 of the family's 1533-position model. The record is from RNAcentral.